GGGGCUGGGGCUCAGUGGUAGAGCGCUUGCCUAGCAUGCGUGAGGCACUGGGUUCAAUCCUCAGCACCA
RNAcentral lists this transfer RNA (69 nucleotides) under Marmota marmota marmota (Alpine marmot). It matches the Rfam family "tRNA". From Rfam's summary of the family: Transfer RNA (tRNA) molecules are approximately 80 nucleotides in length. Their secondary structure includes four short double-helical elements and three loops (D, anti-codon, and T loops). RNAcentral also lists the same sequence under 2 other names. The record is from Rfam by way of RNAcentral. Lineage: Eukaryota; Metazoa; Chordata; Mammalia; Rodentia; Sciuridae.